This 405-nucleotide ribosomal RNA is filed under the name uncultured bacterium. RNAcentral describes it as "partial 16S ribosomal RNA". It matches the Rfam family "Bacterial small subunit ribosomal RNA", at positions 28 to 526 of the family's 1533-position model. The record is from RNAcentral.
GAUGAACGCUGGCGGCGUGCCUAAUACAUGCAAGUCGAGCGAAGCGGGGACGGGUGAGUAACACGUGGAUAACCUCCUAUAAGACUGGGAUAACUUAGGGAAACCGGUGCGAAACAGGCAUAUGUUAGAUGGAUACGCGCUGCAUUAGCUAGGUGGUAAGGUAACGGCGUACCAAGGCAACGAUUCAUAGCCGACCUGAGAGGUGGAUCGGCCACACUGGAACUGAGACACGGUCCAGACUCCUACGGGAGGCAGCAGUAGGGAAUCUUCCGCAAUGGGCGAAAGCCUGACGGAGCAACGCCGCGUGAGUGAUGAAGGUCUUCGGAUCGUAAAACUCUGUUAUUAGGGAAGCGGUACCUAAUCAGAAAGCCACGGCUAACUCCGUGCCAGCAGCCGCGGUAAUAC